UAGCCGUAAACGAUACUCGCUAGGUGUCGGCCACGGUGCGACCGUUGUCGGUGCCGUAGGGAAGCCGUGAAGCGAGCCACCUGGGAAGUACGGCCGCAAGGCUGAAACUUAAAGGAAUUGGCGGGGGAGGCACAACAACGGGUGGAGCUUGCGGUUUAAUUUGGAUUCAACGCCGGAAAUCUUACCGGGACCGGACAGCAACAUGAAGGCCAAGCUGAAGACUUUGCCGGAUUAGCUGAGAGGAGGUGCAUGGCGUAGUCGUGU
RNAcentral lists this ribosomal RNA (264 nucleotides) under uncultured archaeon. RNAcentral's name for it is "partial 16S ribosomal RNA". It matches the Rfam family "Archaeal small subunit ribosomal RNA", at positions 748 to 1009 of the family's 1478-position model. The record is from RNAcentral.